RNAcentral lists this ribosomal RNA (497 nucleotides) under uncultured bacterium. Its description in RNAcentral is "partial 16S ribosomal RNA". It matches the Rfam family "Bacterial small subunit ribosomal RNA", at positions 28 to 507 of the family's 1533-position model. The record is from RNAcentral.
GAUGAACGCUGGCGGCGUGCCUAAUACAUGCAAGUCGAGCGAACAGACGAGGAGCUUGCUCCUCUGACGUUAGCGGCGGACGGGUGAGUAACACGUGGAUAACCUACCUAUAAGACUGGGAUAACUUCGGGAAACCGGGGCUAAUACCGGAUAAUAUAUUGAACCGCAUGGUUCAAUAGUGAAAGACGGUUUUGCUGUCACUUAUAGAUGGAUCCGCGCCGCAUUAGCUAGUUGGUAAGGUAACGGCUUACCAAGGCAACGAUGCGUAGCCGACCUGAGAGGGUGAUCGGCCACACUGGAACUGCGACACGGUCCAGACUCCUACGGGAGGCAGCAGUAGGGAAUCUUCCGCAAUGGGCGAAAGCCUGACGGAGCAACGCCGCGUGAGUGAUGAAGGUCUUCGGAUCGUAAAACUCUGUUAUUAGGGAAGAACAAAUGUGUAAGUAACUAUGCACGUCUUGACGGUACCUAAUCAGAAAGCCACGGCUAACUACGUG